CUACUCUAGGCGGUGGAUCACUCGGCUCGUGCGUCGAU
Molecule: ribosomal RNA, 38 nt
Filed under: Perna perna
Lineage: Eukaryota; Metazoa; Mollusca; Bivalvia; Mytilida; Mytilidae
Also listed under: 2 other names
Description: partial 5.8S ribosomal RNA
Source: RNAcentral